This is a long non-coding RNA of Temnothorax curvispinosus, 271 nucleotides long. RefSeq lists it as uncharacterized. The transcript has 3 exons. NCBI's taxonomy places the organism in Eukaryota, Metazoa, Arthropoda, Insecta, Hymenoptera, Formicidae. The record is from RefSeq and is a predicted model, not a curated record.
UUAUAAGAUAUAGAUAUGCAUGUUCCAAAAGAAUGGCCAUGUCCUCUACUUUGACAAGAUGGAAUUAUGCAAGAAUCCGUGAGAUAUAACCGGCUCCGAGUAUGGUAAAAUGGGUUAGAUGGCUUUAUACAAGCAUAUAAUUUCUUGAAACAGGACUGAUAACAGGCAUCUAUUAAAUAUUCAUUGCUGAGAAAGUAUAUUAGGAAACGACUGUCGGAGUGACUCACAAUUCAAAAAAGAUGCAAUUAUUACUGCCGUUACUGGAGGAAAA